UACAUGGUGAUGGACGUUCUUAGC
Molecule: non-coding RNA, 24 nt
Filed under: Arabidopsis thaliana (thale cress)
Lineage: Eukaryota; Viridiplantae; Streptophyta; Magnoliopsida; Brassicales; Brassicaceae
Source: RNAcentral